Molecule: ribosomal RNA, 484 nt
Filed under: Bhargavaea beijingensis
Lineage: Bacteria; Bacillati; Bacillota; Bacilli; Caryophanales; Caryophanaceae
Description: bacterial SSU rRNA
Rfam family: Bacterial small subunit ribosomal RNA
Source: RNAcentral
GAUCCUGGCUCAGGACGAACGCUGGCGGCGGUGCCUAAUACAUGCAAGUCGAGCGGAUGACGGGGAGCUUGCUCCCCUGAUUCAGCGGCGGACGGGUGAGUAACACGUGGGCAACCUGCCUGUAAGAUCGGGAUAACUCCGGGAAACCGGGGCUAAUACCGGAUGGUUCCUUCCUCCCGCAUGGAGGAAGGCGGAAAGACGGUUUCGGCUGUCACUUACAGAUGGGCCCGCGGCGCAUUAGCUAGUUGGCGGGGUAACGGCCCACCAAGGCAACGAUGCGUAGCCGACCUGAGAGGGUGAUCGGCCCACACUGGGACUGAGACACGGCCCAGACUCCCUACGGGAGGCAGCAGUAGGGAAUCUUCCGCAAUGGACGAAAGUCUGACGGAGCAACGCCGCGUGAGCGAAGAAGGCCUUCGGGUCGUAAAGCUCUGUUGUAAGGGAAGAACAAGCUGCCAGGUUAACUGCCGGCGCCCUGACGGUA